Molecule: long non-coding RNA, 4723 nt
Organism: Acinonyx jubatus (cheetah)
Lineage: Eukaryota; Metazoa; Chordata; Mammalia; Carnivora; Felidae
Exons: 3
Source: RefSeq, a predicted model, not a curated record
GCGUGUCGUGUAGCCUCUCUGGGCCUCGGGUGCAUUGUGCCAUGGGAGAUGGUGUGUGUAGACACCCAAGUGUGUCUGCUGUCUGAGUGGGUGAGCCGGGUCGGGGAUCCCAGGCGGAGGGAGAGGACUGGCAGUGGGGGACUCAGAGCACGGCGUCCCUCGCGCUGCGGUCCCAUCGCCCUGCUAUCCAGGCCGCGCAUACCCAUGUGAAUGUGUCCCGGUGACGUCUCAGGUGAUGAUGCUGUUGGAGAAGGAGACAGGUGCCCAGGGCUGCCUCUUUCCAGCUGGGUGACUUCUCCUUGGCAAGUAGGGGACGAUAGGGGCAUCUACAGAGGGUAUGUGACUGGUAAGUGAGCUGAUAAUGCUAAGUAAAUGACCACUCUUCUCCCUAAGUGCCACUGGUAAGUUCCAAAAGGGUAGGGACCGGCUCUGUGUCUGUACCUUGCUGUCACCCUCACGGUUGGGGGCUUUAUGCCUCUUGAUGGUGAUGCCCUCAUUCUGAUGUCUUUGCCAAGGCCUCUCAUCCUCUCCUAACAAGUCAACGUUAAUAGUCUAAGCCGGGGACCGGCGGAGUGGGGACAGAUCAUUUCCCUCCCAUCCAUGGAUGCUGUUUUGAGCACCGGGCGGGUGCAGAUUCUGAGACGGUACCUGGCCUCAGUGCUCGGAAACAGUGCUGUGAUUGAUUGGUGAUGUCUGAUGUCUGUCUGGGAUUGAUUGGUGAUGUCUGUAACUGUGAGACGCUUGUAUGCAGGAUGCGUGUGCUGCUUGGCUUUUACCAUCUCCUGCCAUCUAUCUUUAAGGGCUCACCAAGCCUACAGAUCAGAUUUUAGUCUGAGCAACGGAUAAAGAUUGAGCUCCCUCUCUCCAUGCUCUGCCGGACGGGGAGCGGAAGCUAAAGAACUACCUGGCCCCUUUCUGCCCGCAGGGAGCUUCCAGUCUCCUUUAACCGGGUCCUGACCACUUCCAGUGUCCUCUACUUCCUUCUGCUUUUCUCCUGGAGUCUAGACUGCCUCUCCCUUUACCAGCUGUUCUGCCCCAAAUAGCUAUUGUGUGCACUUGGCCCAACUCCCAAGAGCAAGUACUUAGGAAUUCUACAGAAAACACGUCACCUAAAAUACAGCUGAGCUUUCAAGACAAGCUAUGAGUGCUUUAGAGGAGUUAUAGCUGCUGGACAGCAGCAACUGGACAAUGACUCCCAGCUGGGCCGGCUGGGGUGUUUCUGCCCGGGUUUGCGCAAGCUUUCUGCGGCAUGUUGCCAAACCCAGCUCCCCAUGUUGCAAAGAUGUAUGGCAGUGCGGCAUUUCUCAGGGAUGGGAAGUAACGUGUGCAAGGAUGCCCCUACAAGUGGGUGUCUUGUCUCCGGUCAGCACCUUGCUGCUGCUGUGCUCAGAGCCGAGGCCCAGUAAGAAAGGGCGCUUUCCGAUUUGCCUCACCGUCUCCGGAACUUCCCUGGUGCUUAUGGACAAUUAAGUAGUGAGUAUGUGGGGGAGGGUGCUGACUCUCACUUGGUUGAUGACCGAUGGACUUUUGUGAGAAUCCCGCAUCGUCUUCCUGCCAGUCAGGCCACAGUGGUCUUAGUCUUGUUGAUACAGAGGACGGGAGAGGAGGAGGGAACAACGCUUAUUAAGCACCUACUGUAUGCCAAGCGAUACACUGAAAAACUGCGUGUAGUUUUCUUUUUUCAAGUUUUUAACGUUUAUUCAUUUUUAGAGAGAGAGAGAGAGAGAGACACACACAGCGUGAGUGGGGGAGGGGCAGAGAGAGAGGGAGACCCAGAAUCGGAAGCAGGCUCCAGGCUCCGAGCUGUCAGCACAGAGCCCGACGCGGGGCUCGAACCCACGGACCGCGAGAUCAUGACCUGAGCCGAAGUCGGACGCUCAACCGACGGAGCCGCCCAGGCGCCCCUACGUGUAGUUUUCUUGUUUAAUCCUCACAGAAGGUCUGUGUAGCAUGGUGAGCGAUGGAAGGAACAGGGGGGCUCAGCCAGAACCCUAGGUCAGAUCCUGGCCCCAGCACCUGCAUCUCAGUGACCUUGACUGAAUGGCUUUCUCUUUUUGAACCUCAGUCCCUCAUCCAUCAAAGGGACAUGAGAAUGCCUCAUCACAUAUUGAUGAAGAUAAGAGACAUUGCAUAUAAAGGACUUUUCCUGCAAGAGGCCUUCCAGUGCUGGUAGCUGCGUUUAUUUAUUUGUCCAAAUCAAGGGCUGGCCCACGCUGGCUUACAGCUUAAAAAAAAAAAAAAAAAAGCCAAAAUGUCAGGGCGCCUGGGUGACUCCAGUCGGUUAGGCGUCCGACUCUCGAUUUUGGCUCGGGUCACGAUCUCACAGUCAUGAGAUCGAGCCCCCGUCUGGCUCCACAUCAGCGUGGAGUGGAUCUGCUUACGAUUCUCUCUCUGUCUGCCCCUGUCCCGCUCGCUCGUGUGCGCCCACACAGGCACGUGCUCACGCACGCUCCCUCCCGAAAAAUAAUAUAUAUUUAUCAAAACUACAUUCAUAGUAUUAUUCUUUGCAUGUUGUGCGUAUGCUAAUUAUAUGCAUGUUCAUUAUACACACGUAUACAUGUGUAUAUAAUUUUCUUAUCAAGGUGAAAUUCGCGUAAUAUGAAAUUAACCAUUUUAAAGGGAACAACGCAGCGGCAUUUAGGACAUUCACAGUGCUGUACAACCAUCACCUCUGGUUGUGGAACGUUUCUAUCACCCCAAAAAGAAACCGCAUCCACAUGAGCAGCCACUCCCCACCCCGCCACCCCACCCCCCGCCCCUGGCAACCACCAAUCUGCUCGCUGUCUCUGUGGCUAUUCUCUUCUGGACGUUUUGGAUACACGGAAUCACACACUAUGGGACCACAGCAGCUUUGGCUGGGCUAAUAGCUAAGCGUGGUUUUUACAUUUAUGAAUGGUCGGGGGGAAACCAGAGGAUAUUUUAUGGUAUGUGAACAUCCUAUGAAAAUUGAAUUUCAUAGGUGUCCGCACCUAUGUUUUAUUGGCACGCAGCCAUGCCCGGUAGUGGAUAUAUUAAGACUAUGUCCAGGAGGAGAUAGGUGGUCUGCAAGCAGAAAAUACUGAAUGUCUGGCCUGAAGCUUAGAGAAGCUGGUUCCACAGGGAGAAGCCAGCGGGACUGCCUUUGGACCCCAGAGUCUGAACUGGCUCCCCAGUCCAUCGCCGCCUCUCAGUGUGCACUUAAUAGACAUUUAUGGAAUUCUUCUUACUGGCCAGCUGUUUCCCGGAAUAAGCUGGUCCCCGCCCGUGCUCGUUUCUCAGGUGUCUAUACUGGGGUGAAUCUGAAGACAGAUCUUUGGAUCUGUGAUCUUUGGAUCAGUGGUCUGGAUGUUCAACAUCAGGGAUGUCUCAAGCACCUGGUCAUAAAAGUUAAUGGAGCCCCCCCUUCUCGUGUCUGGAGUCGCCAGAUGGAACACGGACGCCCAGUGAAAUCUGAAUGUCAGAUAGACAAGAAAUGACGUUUUCAUGCAGCAUCAUUCUCCGUGGAGGGGCCGUCCCGCACACUGGAGGGUGUUGAGCCUUGUCCCUGGGUCUCCACCACCAGAUGCCAGCUGGCUCCCCCACUCGUGACCACCGAAAACAUCUUCAAGUUUUCCCCCAUGGCAGGGGUGGGCGCGGGGGCGGCCCGAAGAGAGACCCUCGGUCUAACCAUGGGGGGUAGAGCUGUUCCUCAGAGCUGAGAUUUGCAUUUCCAGCAAAUUCUGGGGCCCUGCUUGGUAGUCGGCCCCCUCCCCAGCUCUGGGAAGGAAAUCUCUUCUCACCGUCACUGUCACCAGCAGGCAUGAAAGAUAUUGGACGUUUGCAAUUUAAUAAGAAAAAUGCGAGCUCCGCUGGCCCAGGGGAGCCUUGCACUCAGCGAUCUGUGCUGUUUACCUCAAACAAUGACUUAUGAACCACAGAGGGUUCGUCCCAUGCCGGUGUGUGCAGGGCAAGAAAAACCAGAGGGGCGGUCAGCUCUCCCAGCCUGACUCAUGAGCCGCUGUGCCGGGAACAUGGCCAAGGCCUGACUCAUGGCCUGCAAUGUCACACCUGCGCCUGUGGCCUCGGGGGACAGUGCCCCUCUGAGAAAAUAGUGGCUAAACCCAUGGCAAUCAGGUCUGACCCUUGGAAGCCGUGCGGGACCCCUGAUGGCCUUGAACACGCAGGAGGCCUGGGCCGUUUGUUAGGAGGGAGGCUGAAUCAGCCGUGGAGGGUGGUGCUGGGCAGAGACCCCUGGAGAAAGGGGGAGGGGAGGGGAGUUUCAGAUAUGCACCUUCUGGCUCUGUGUAUUUCUUUUUAACUAUUUAUUUAUUUAUUAAAAAAAAAUUUUUUUUAACGUUUAUUUAUUUUUGAGACAGACAGAGCAUGAAUGGGGGAGGGACAGAGAGAGAGGGAGACACAGAAUGGGAAGCAGGCUCCAGGCUCUGAGCCAUCAGCCCAGAGCCCGACGCGGGGCUCGAACUCACGGACCGCGAGAUCGUGACCUGAGCUGAAGUCGGACGCUUAACCGACUGAGCCACCCAGGCGCCCCUCUUUUUAACUUUUUAAAAAAUCGCGGUGACAGUCAUAUACCAUAAAAUCCACCUGUCUUAGUCCGUUUGCGGUGCUGUGGCAAAUUACCACGGACUGGGUGGCUUAAACAGAAAUUCGUUUCUCCAAGUUCUGGAGGCGAGAAGUCCAAGAUCUAGAUGCUGGCAGAUGUCCUUACUUGGCAGAAGCUCUGUGGGUUCUUCUUCUUCUUCUUCUU